Molecule: long non-coding RNA, 149 nt
Organism: Etheostoma spectabile (orangethroat darter)
Lineage: Eukaryota; Metazoa; Chordata; Actinopteri; Perciformes; Percidae
Exons: 2
Source: RefSeq, a predicted model, not a curated record
CACGCGUCAUUCAUAUUUCCCGGCAUGCCCUGCGAGUGAGCAGCCCUUCAGACGCAAAGGACACUGAGCGAUCAUAGCGGAAUUUCUCUGAGAAAGAAAUCCAGCAGCUUGAAGAUGUCGGACCAGAUCGACGAGAAGAUCAAGAACUA